This 453-nucleotide ribosomal RNA is filed under the name Fusarium oxysporum. RNAcentral describes it as "eukaryotic LSU rRNA". The stretch from base 112 to 265 matches the Rfam family "5.8S ribosomal RNA". Lineage: Eukaryota; Fungi; Ascomycota; Sordariomycetes; Hypocreales; Nectriaceae. The record is from RNAcentral.
CUUGUUGCCUCGGCGGAUCAGCCCGCUCCCGGUAAAACGGGACGGCCCGCCAGAGGACCCCUAAACUCUGUUUCUAUAUGUAACUUCUGAGUAAAACCAUAAAUAAAUCAAAACUUUCAACAACGGAUCUCUUGGUUCUGGCAUCGAUGAAGAACGCAGCAAAAUGCGAUAAGUAAUGUGAAUUGCAGAAUUCAGUGAAUCAUCGAAUCUUUGAACGCACAUUGCGCCCGCCAGUAUUCUGGCGGGCAUGCCUGUUCGAGCGUCAUUUCAACCCUCAAGCACAGCUUGGUGUUGGGACUCGCGUUAAUUCGCGUUCCUCAAAUUGAUUGGCGGUCACGUCGAGCUUCCAUAGCGUAGUAGUAAAACCCUCGUUACUGGUAAUCGUCGCGGCCACGCCGUUAAACCCCAACUUCUGAAUGUUGACCUCGGAUCAGGUAGGAAUACCCGCUGAAC